Molecule: ribosomal RNA, 464 nt
Filed under: uncultured bacterium
Lineage: Bacteria
Description: partial 16S ribosomal RNA
Rfam family: Bacterial small subunit ribosomal RNA
Source: RNAcentral
CUACGGGGGGCACCAGUGAGGAAUUUUGCGCAAUGGGGGAAACCCUGACGCAGCAACGCCGCGUGAGCGAAGAAGGCCUUCGGGUCGUAAAGCUCUGUCAAGUGGGAAAAAAAUUCUUUGAUCAAUAGUCAAAGGAUUUGAUGGUACCACUGGAGGAAGCACCGGCUAACUCCGUGCCAGCAGCCGCGGUAAUACGGAGGGUGCAAGCGUUGUUCGGAAUUACUGGGCGUAAAGAGCGUGUAGGCGGUUUGGCAAGUCAGAUGUGAAAGCCCUGGGCUCAACCUGGGAAGUGCAUUUGAAACUGCGUGACUAGAGUAUGGGAGAGGAGAUUGGAAUUCCUGGUGUAGAGGUGAAAUUCGUAGAUAUCAGGAGGAACACCCGUGGCGAAGGCGAUUCUCUGGACCAAUACUGACGCUGAGACGCGAAAGCGUGGGGAGCAAACAGGAUUAGAUACCCGCGUAGUC